GAUGAACGCUGGCGGCGUGCCUAAUACAUGCAAGUCGAGCGAACAGAUAAGGAGCUUGCUCCUUUGACGUUAGCGGCGGACGGGUGAGUAACACGUGGGUAACCUACCUAUAAGACUGGGAUAACUUCGGGAAACCGGAGCUAAUACCGGAUAACAUUUGGAACCGCAUGGUUCUAAAGUGAAAGAUGGUUUUGCUAUCACUUAUAGAUGGACCCGCGCCGUAUUAGCUAGUUGGUAAGGUAACGGCUUACCAAGGCGACGAUACGUAGCCGACCUGAGAGGGUGAUCGGCCACACUGGAACUGAGACACGGUCCAGACUCCUACGGGAGGCAGCAGUAGCGAAUCUUCCGCAAUGGGCGAAAGCCUGACGGAGCAACGCCGCGUGAGUGAUGAAGGGUUUCGGCUCGUAAAACUCUGUUAUUAGGGAAGAACAAAUGUGUAAGUAACUGUGCACGUCUUGACGGUACCUAAUCAGAAAGCCACGGCUAACUACGUG
This 497-nucleotide ribosomal RNA is filed under the name uncultured bacterium. RNAcentral describes it as "partial 16S ribosomal RNA". It matches the Rfam family "Bacterial small subunit ribosomal RNA", at positions 28 to 507 of the family's 1533-position model. The record is from RNAcentral.